GCCGCUCUCCUACGUUUCUCCUUCCCAUUACCUUUUUCCUGGUCGGCAGUCGUUCAGAACAGAGCCAGCCACAGGACGCAACAGACAUGGGCCGCCUUACUUCUUGUUGGGAAGCCUUCGUGGUACUUCUGUUCGUAUCGACAACGUUCGCAGGUACAGUGGUAUUCCCGGACGUUGAGUCCUGCACGCUGCACACGGGAGAGCAGGGCCGCUGUUUGCCGCUGCCACAGUGCCCGCCAGUAUUGGAGACGAUUAGGGAAAGGCAUCCUGUCUCGUGUGGCUUCGAGGGUUUUACUCAAAUCGUGUGUUGUCCGAAGGGUGAAGACACCACACCAAGGGAAAAAAUAGUGGACAUUUCCCCUCCUCAAGGAUACGACGCACUGGACUGCGGGAAAAGUGCGGUUAAGGUCAUCCAGGGUUUCGGACCAGGUUUCGGGCUACCAGCCAGUACCGUCUCCUUGAUACGCAGUAGGCGAGCUAACGUUCCUCUGGGGUCACUGGCGGAUAAGGCUCAUGUAACUGUUCCACCCCCAGUGGUUGGGGGUCAGAUCUCAGAAAGAUCCGCUUGGCCAUGGAUGGCAUUAAUUGGGGAGAGAGACCCAGCUGGUAUCAAUUGGUUCUGCGGCGGGGCGCUAAUUAAUGAAUACUGGGUCCUCACGGCGCUCCACUGCUUCCACAACAAAAAGGCCGAUGUGGUGCGUCUUGGAGAGCACGACUAUAGCACAGACAGUGAUGGGGCUAACCCCAUAGACAUUCCAGUGGCGGAGCGGGUACUGUAUCCAGACUACAUAUAUCCACAUGGGUACCAUGACCUGGCCCUGCUCAAGCUGGAAAGCAAAGUUACACUUCAGACAUUCAUCUCACCAGUGUGUCUGCCUUGGGGCAGCAAGAGCGAGGAGAAUAUCGUGAACAGCCAAGCAACAGUCACUGGUUGGGGAUUCACCUUAUUCGGAGGGUUCCCAAGCCCCGAGCUGAUGGAGGUGGACAUCCAGGUGUUCCCUUCCUCCAGAUGUAACAGCAGCUACUCCUCCCUCCUUCAUUUCCCAGACACAUGGCCACGCGGCAUCGGGGAGGAAACCCUGUGUGCCGGCGAUGACGAAGGCGGCAAAGACUCCUGCCAGGGAGACUCUGGUGGACCUCUGGUCACUCGGGAUAGCCGGGGGCGCUACGUAGCGGCUGGCAUCGUGUCGCAAGGCCACGGGUGUGGCCACAAGGACUACCCCGGACUGUAUGCCAACCUGCGCUACCCAGCCUACCUUGCUUGGAUCAAGAAAGUGGCUUUCGGACCUCAGUGAGCUGUUACUUUUGACGGCAAUAAUGCUGUGGUAGGUCAGGGGGUCAAGAUGGUUAGAAAAAAGUGAAUGGUGUCUUCAAAGCAUGUUUCUCACAAGAUCUCCUUCGCCAGUCAUCUCCUACCACCACGGCCGAUCCUCACGCGUCCAUUGUGAAGCUUAGCUAGCAGCUCACACAUCUUGUUUAUCCAGUAGCAAGUCAGAGCAUAAUGUUAGCGCGACAGGGUAAACUUCUAAAGCAGACCGCCAACUUUACACAUGGCCUCUUGUAUGAGAGACCUUGGCGGCGCCCUAUAAUUAAUGCAAAGUCAGAGAGGAAACUUGUGUACGUAUACAUUCUGUUGUUGAAAUAAAAUCAAUAAAAAGGUUGCAAGAAAA
RNAcentral lists this unclassified non-coding RNA (1670 nucleotides) under Portunus trituberculatus (swimming crab). RNAcentral describes it as "venom protease-like, transcript variant X2". Lineage: Eukaryota; Metazoa; Arthropoda; Malacostraca; Decapoda; Portunidae. The record is from RNAcentral.